RNAcentral lists this ribosomal RNA (263 nucleotides) under uncultured bacterium. Its description in RNAcentral is "partial 16S ribosomal RNA". It matches the Rfam family "Bacterial small subunit ribosomal RNA", at positions 793 to 1055 of the family's 1533-position model. The record is from RNAcentral.
GUCCACGCUGUAAACGAUGAGUGCUAGAUAUCGGGGCGUAGCCUUCGGUUUCACAGCUAACGCUUUAAGCACUCCGCCUGGGGAGUACGGUCGCAAGAUUAAAACUCAAAGGAAUUGACGGGGCCCGCACAAGUGGUGGAGCAUGCGGUUUAAUUCGAUGUUACGCGAAAAACCUUACCAACCCUUGACAUGGUGGUCGCGGAUCGCAGAGAUGCUUUCCUUCAGUUCGGCUGGACCACACACAGGUGUUGCAUGGUUGUCGU